ACGUAGAAUGCGAGCGUUAAACGGAAUUACUGGGCGUAAAGCGUGCGCAGGCGGUUCGCUAAAACAAAUAUAAAAUCCCCGAACUUAACCUAGGAAUGGCGCUUGUGACUGGCGGGCUGGAGUACGGCAGAGGGGGGUGGAAUUCCACGUGUAGCAGUGAAAUGCGUAGAGAUGUGGAGGAACACCGAUGGCGAAGGCAGCCCCCUGGGCCGAUACUGACGCUCAUGCACGAAAGCGUGGGGAGCAAACAG
Molecule: ribosomal RNA, 251 nt
Filed under: uncultured prokaryote
Description: partial 16S ribosomal RNA
Rfam family: Bacterial small subunit ribosomal RNA
Source: RNAcentral